AUGGGGCAGCAGCGGCUGCGGGCGGCGAGGCCGGCCGGCCGUGGCUGCGUCAGGCAUAGGCAGGCGACGGUCGCGGCAGCCAGCACCAGUUGCAAACGGCGGCAGCAGGCGAGAAGCAGCAGCAGAGCAACAGUAGCAAAGGGAGCGGUACUGCAGCAGUCAGCACAGGCACGCGCACGCGAGCGGCAACAGGCGGGCGGGCAGGGGCACGCCGGGCGUGGCCCUGGCGAGCAGCGAGGGCGUGGUCGUGGGGUGAGGACGCGCAACAGGGAGGCGUGCAGGAUGCGGCCGGCAUUUAACCGCACACGCGCGCAGACGACGAUCUUCAGGAGCGGCGACGAUGAACGGGAAGGUAUUCUACAGGGACCAAAAGGAGCAGCGGUUCGAGCCAUUCGAACGAGGACACCACACUACGUCCGUAGAUGA
RNAcentral lists this ribosomal RNA (426 nucleotides) under Triticum aestivum (bread wheat). RNAcentral's name for it is "partial small subunit ribosomal RNA". Lineage: Eukaryota; Viridiplantae; Streptophyta; Magnoliopsida; Poales; Poaceae. The record is from RNAcentral.